Molecule: ribosomal RNA, 253 nt
Filed under: uncultured bacterium
Lineage: Bacteria
Description: partial 16S ribosomal RNA
Rfam family: Bacterial small subunit ribosomal RNA
Source: RNAcentral
UACAGAGGGUGCAAGCGUUGCUCGGAAUCAUUGGGCGUAAAGGGUAGGUAGGUGGUCUCAUUUGUCUGGGGUGAAAGCCUUGGGCUUAACCCAAGAAGUGCCCCAGAAACGGUGAGACUCGAGUACUGGAGAGGGUCGUGGAAUUCCCGGUGUAGCGGUGAAAUGCGUAGAGAUCGGGAGGAACACAAGAGGCGAAGGCGGCGACCUGGACAGUAACUGACACUCAACUACGAAAGCGUGGGGAGCAAACAGG